UACAGAGGUCCCGAGCGUUGUUCGGAUUCAUUGGGCGUAAAGGGUGCGUAGGCGGCGGGGUAAGUUUGAUGUGAAAUUCCGGGGCUCAACCCUGGCAUGGCAUUGAAUACUACCUUGCUAGAGUACCGGAGAGGAAACUGGAAUUUACGGUGUAGCAGUGAAAUGCGUAGAGAUCGUAAGGAAGACCAGUGGCGAAGGCGAGUUUCUGGACGGUAACUGACGCUGAGGCACGAAGGCCAGGGGAGCAAAACGGGG
RNAcentral lists this ribosomal RNA (255 nucleotides) under uncultured bacterium. Its description in RNAcentral is "partial 16S ribosomal RNA". It matches the Rfam family "Bacterial small subunit ribosomal RNA", at positions 524 to 778 of the family's 1533-position model. The record is from RNAcentral.